RNAcentral lists this ribosomal RNA (169 nucleotides) under uncultured bacterium. Its description in RNAcentral is "partial 16S ribosomal RNA". It matches the Rfam family "Bacterial small subunit ribosomal RNA", at positions 338 to 524 of the family's 1533-position model. The record is from RNAcentral.
CCUACGGGAGGCAGCAGUGGGGAAUAUUGGACAAUGGGCGAAAGCCUGAUCCAACAAUGCCGCGUGAGUGAUGAAGGCCUUAGGGUUGUAAAGCUCUUUUACCAGGGAUGAUAAUGACAGUACCUGGAGAAUAAGCUCCGGCUAACUCCGUGCCAGCAGCCGCGGUAAU